RNAcentral lists this ribosomal RNA (255 nucleotides) under Listeria monocytogenes. RNAcentral's name for it is "partial 23S ribosomal RNA". It matches the Rfam family "Bacterial large subunit ribosomal RNA", at positions 684 to 935 of the family's 2925-position model. The record is from RNAcentral. Lineage: Bacteria; Bacillati; Bacillota; Bacilli; Caryophanales; Listeriaceae.
UGAAUAGGGCGCAUAAGUAACAGGUCGUAGACCCGAAACCAGGUGAUCUACCCAUGUCCAGGAUGAAGGUAAGGUAAUACUUACUGGAGGUCCGAACCCACGCACGUUGAAAAGUGCGGGGAUGAGGGGUGGGUAGCGGAGAAAUUCCAAUCGAACUUGGAGAUAGCUGGUUCUCUCCGAAAUAGCUUUAGGGCUAGCCUCGAGGUAAAGAGUCAUGGAGGUAGAGCACUGUUUGGACUAGGGGCCCUUCUCGGG